This 276-nucleotide long non-coding RNA is filed under the name Hordeum vulgare. Its description in RNAcentral is "long non-coding RNA (HVUL_LNC006860)". Lineage: Eukaryota; Viridiplantae; Streptophyta; Magnoliopsida; Poales; Poaceae. The record is from RNAcentral.
UCUGCAUUUUUUCUCUUGCACUCCUAGAGGGAUCAAGACACAUAGAAUUAGAAAUGAGAUGAUAGGCCUGAAAAUGUAAGAACUAAAGAAAUAUACCCCCUUUCCUGUAUCUCUUCUCGAGAUAAAACAAUGUUUUUGCAAUAUUAUUUCCUGUAAAAUCUCAUAUUGAAAUAAUCUUGUAGACUUUAGUAUUGCAAGGUGUAAGAUGUUGAUUGUGAGUUGCAAAUCUUACACCAAGAGGUGGUAUCUCUCAGAAAAGUAUCCUUGUUUUUUCUC